RNAcentral lists this long non-coding RNA (1269 nucleotides) under Hordeum vulgare. Its description in RNAcentral is "long non-coding RNA (HVUL_LNC019478)". Lineage: Eukaryota; Viridiplantae; Streptophyta; Magnoliopsida; Poales; Poaceae. The record is from RNAcentral.
GCGUAUUCAAACAGGCCAAAAUGCUCGACUAAAGAAAAAGAAAACAAACAAAGGUAGGUUCAGAUUUUACUCACUUUCUUUUGGUAUUUUCGUUUUAACACAGAAACAAAAUACUAACACAAAGAAGCAUCGAUGAAUUAAAAAGACAUGAACACAUAUAUAACUAUCUAGCAUUUAACAGAGGAAGGAAACUGAAUUAUGUGACAGGAAAUAGAUGAUUCACAUCACAAACACACACAUACUAUAUAUAUAUCACACGAACUUGAUCUAACACGUGGACUAUAAAAUGGAACAAGUUCACAAGAUUGAACACGAACACAAGCUAGCGGAAUAGUAACUCAGAAAGUUAAAUCGCAAGACGAAAUAUUAUACAAAGCAACUAUGGCAUUAACUGAACAUAUAGUAUGUGAUAUUGUAUUACAAGUACGAAACUGAGAUUUCAAGAACUUAUCAAAUCUGAAUAUUAAAUGUCAUAAACGUCUAAAUUUUACAGAAAUUUUAGAGAGAAUAAGAGAAAUAACAUCAGCAACUAGUUGAAGGAGAGGAAAAGCUUCAGGUUAGGAGCAGCAGUAGAUCGAGGUAGAAGGUGCAGCGGCAGAUCGUGGGAAAUGGAGCAGCAGCAGAGACGAGGGGAAAGGGAGCAGCAACAACUUUAGGGGAGAAGAGUAGCAGGUCAAUAUAGAAGGACCAGCACGGGGGCAAUGGAGAGAGAGGAGCAGCAAGGGGGCAGUGGAGAGAGAGGAGCAACAAGGGGGCAGUGGAGAGAGAGGAGCAACAAGGGGGCAGCGGGUGCAAGGGAAGGGAAGAGCAGCAGCAGCAUGGGGGAUCGGCGUUGGUGAUGGAGGUGUGUGGCGUUGGUGGCUGGGUGGUGGUGCUGGUGUGGUGCGCAAGAGAUGGAUGCUGGUGGCGUUGUUGAUGGAGAUGGCUUGGAUGGAUGGCUGGGUUGCGGCGAUGGAUGGUGGGGCUGGUUGAUGGUGCAGAUGGUGCGGUGGAGUGGGUGAUUGGCGCGUAACCACGCCGGCCUGGCUGGGGCGGCGGCCGGAGGUGGAGAAGGAUGGGUGAGUGAAGAGGAAGAUGGAGGUGCGAGGACCGAAGGGGAUUGAAGGCUGCUCUAGGGAUUUUGACCCCUCACGACUGAUUUCCUCCUUUGUAAUUUGGCCCCUCUACUUUUCUUCUUUCUGCACAAGUUGAUCCUCCGCUUCUUUAGUUUGACCCCUCGGUCUCUUCUUUCCUUCACACUUCCAAACCUUGAAGUUUAUAGUGCCUUAG